UUCCAUGCAACAGAUUUAUGGAAACUCAUCGGCAGCCUCAUGGGCAACACAGGUAUGCACCUGUCUAUCAAGACAAUAACUUUCUUCAGGAGAGGAACAAACCCUUAGAACAGUUGCAAUGGUGAAUUGGUCCGGCAACAGUCCACUCUGUAAUAAAUCAACAAGCCUCCUUAAAGAAUAUUCCUCUAAACCACUCAUAGCACAGUCAGUUCUAGCCGGUUAAAAUAGCAUAAACGUGAAGAGUCUCGGAAGCAGAUGGGGAAACAUAGAGGAGGCACAACUUGAAGAAGUGGAGUUGACAAUGGAUCUUUGAGCAGAUAACAAGGGUUGGCAAAUGAGGGAUUCAGAUCAUUAUUGGAUAUAAUUACGUGACAGAGGAAGCAGUAACAAUAAUAGAUGGUCGUCGGGUUCAUGGAUUAAUUCUUGAAGAAUUCCGUUGUAACCUUUUCAUGCAGGAAGUUAGUUUGCUGCCAGCGUUUGCCG
This is a long non-coding RNA of Lathyrus oleraceus (garden pea), 483 nucleotides long. RefSeq lists it as uncharacterized. Lineage: Eukaryota; Viridiplantae; Streptophyta; Magnoliopsida; Fabales; Fabaceae. The transcript has 4 exons. The record is from RefSeq and is a predicted model, not a curated record.